GAAGCACAAAGAAGUUAAGUACUUGCCCAAGUUCACACCAAGAUUUGAACCCAGGUAGUCUUACUUCAGAGACUACGUUUUUAUCCGUGGCCAUUGCCAACCUCAUGCUCAUUCAUUUGUACUGGGACACUCAUGCUUUAUCCAUAGUACUUCUCCACCAGCAGUUUUGUAAAGAUCAGAGGAAGUGAUGAGCUCAGAGAGCAGAGUCGGGCACAAGAAGGAGGAUACUAUUGGGUGCCCAUCAGUUGCUGUGCCUGUUAUGGCUUAGCUACUCUUGCUGCUAUGUGGAGAACAGAUGGGAGGUGGACACUCAGGGAAACAGGUAAUUUGCCUUGCUACCAGUGUUUCUCUACCAUAAAAAUAUUAUGAG
RNAcentral lists this long non-coding RNA (370 nucleotides) under Sus scrofa (pig). RNAcentral's name for it is "lncRNA (ENSSSCG00005042751.1)". The record is from RNAcentral. Lineage: Eukaryota; Metazoa; Chordata; Mammalia; Artiodactyla; Suidae.